GAUGAACGCUGGCGGCGUGCCUAAUACAUGCAAGUCGAGCGAACAGACGAGGAGCUUGCUCCUUCGACGUUAGCGGCGGACGUGUGAGUAACACGUAGGUAACCUACCUAUAAGACUGGGAUAACUUCGGGAAACCGGAGCUAAUACCGGAUAAUAUUUCGAACCGCAUGGUUCGAUAGUGAAAGAUGGCUUUGCUAUCACUUAUAGAUGGACCUGCGCCGUAUUAGCUAGUUGGUAAGGUAACGGCUUACCAAGGCAACGAUACGUAGCCGACCUGAGAGGGUGAUAGGCCACACUGGAACUGAGACACGGUCCAGACUACUACGGGAGGCAGCAGUAGGGAAUGUUCCGCAAUGGGCGAAAGCAUGACGGAGCAACGCCGCGUGAGUGAUGAAGGUCUUCGGAUCGUAAAACUCUGUUAUUAGGGAAGAACAAACGUGUAAGUAACUGUGCACGUCUUGACGGUACCUAAUCAGAAAGCCACGGCUAACUACGUG
RNAcentral lists this ribosomal RNA (497 nucleotides) under uncultured bacterium. Its description in RNAcentral is "partial 16S ribosomal RNA". It matches the Rfam family "Bacterial small subunit ribosomal RNA", at positions 28 to 507 of the family's 1533-position model. The record is from RNAcentral.